This is a long non-coding RNA of Thalassophryne amazonica, 358 nucleotides long. RefSeq lists it as uncharacterized. The record is from RefSeq and is a predicted model, not a curated record. NCBI's taxonomy places the organism in Eukaryota, Metazoa, Chordata, Actinopteri, Batrachoidiformes, Batrachoididae. The transcript has 3 exons.
AUAUAUAUAUAUAUAUAAAAUUACACACAAAAAAUACAAAUAUUUAUUAAAUUUGCAGUGGUUUCAGAUGCAGGUAUUUUAUUUAAAAUGUCUCUUAAUGUGUAUUACAUGGUAAGACAUUUGUAAUUGUAAUCACUGGAACUUGAGUAAAGCUUAUUUAUAAUGAUUUUUGUUAGCCAAAGAAAGAUAAAAGGGAAAGCAGCAAUCCUUCAUAUAACGUCUUAUAGAUUAUAGGUGUUUGUAAUAUGUGACCUUUUGACCUUUAACUGAGAUGCAUUUGUUAACAUGAUGUUUCUUUAUGUAAUUGUGAUACUUUUUUUUUUUUCUGAUUGAAUUUAUUUUCAUUAUAUUAUUAGAU